UACUGAUGAGCUUGAAUGAACUAGAGGUAGGCGGAAUGUGACAAGUAGCGGUGAAAUGCAUAGAUAUGUCACAGAACACCGAUUGCGAAGGCAGCUUACUAUGGUUUUAUUGACGCUGAGGCACGAAAGCGUGGGGAUCAAACAGGAUUAGAUACCCUGGUAGUCCACGCCCUAAACGAUGAAUACUCGCUGUUAGCGAUACACAGUUAGCGGCUAAGCGAAAGCGUUAAGUAUUCCACCUGGGGAGUACGCCCGCAAGGGUGAAACUCAAAGGAAUUGACGGGGGCCCGCACAAGCGGAGGAGCAUGUGGUUUAAUUCGAUGAUACGCGAGGAACCUUACCCGGGCUUGAAAGUUAGUGAAUGGUUUAGAGAUAGACCAGUGAGCAAUCACACGAAACUAGGUGCUGCAUGGCUGUCGUCAGCUCGUGCCGUGAGGUGUUGGGUUAAGUCCCGCAACGAGCGCAACCCCUAUGUUUAGUUGCCAGCACGUUAAGGUGGGGACUCUAAACAGACUGCCUGUGCAAACAGAGAGGAAGGAGGGGACGACGUCAAGUCAUCAUGGCCCUUACGUCCGGGGCUACACACGUGCUACAAUGGAUGGUACAGAGGGCAGCAAGCUGGCAACAGCAAGCAAAUCUCAAAAAGCCAUUCACAGUUCGGAUAGAGGUCUGCAACUCGACCUCUUGAAGUUGGAUUCGCUAGUAAUCGCGUAUCAGCAAUGACGCGGUGAAUACGUUCCCGGGCCUUGUACACACCGCCCGUCAAGCCAUGGAAGUUGGGGGUACCUAAAGUAUGUAAC
RNAcentral lists this ribosomal RNA (800 nucleotides) under Pedobacter sp. Its description in RNAcentral is "bacterial SSU rRNA". It matches the Rfam family "Bacterial small subunit ribosomal RNA", at positions 631 to 1434 of the family's 1533-position model. Lineage: Bacteria; Pseudomonadati; Bacteroidota; Sphingobacteriia; Sphingobacteriales; Sphingobacteriaceae. The record is from RNAcentral.